CAGAACUGGUGCAGAUGCUUCUG
Molecule: non-coding RNA, 23 nt
Filed under: Arabidopsis thaliana (thale cress)
Lineage: Eukaryota; Viridiplantae; Streptophyta; Magnoliopsida; Brassicales; Brassicaceae
Source: RNAcentral